CCCAAGCCGAAGGCAGAUGCCCAAUGACUAAGCCACCCAGGUUAUUUGUGGCUUUGAAUUCACAGGGAUCAAGCCCUGCAUCAAGUCCUGCGUCAGGCUCUCUGCUUGGGUAGAUUCUUUCCAGGAGAAUUUAAUAAUUAAGCAGUUGCGGAUCCCAGAGCAUUAUCAUCCAAAAGGAAGGAAAUGAGGAUGGGCAGAAGACAGGCCACCAGCUGAGAACCUGUUAAGUAAAUAAAUGAUUUUUAAGUCCUGGAUUGAAGGUUGUAAGUGUUUAAUAUAUACAGCUGUAAACUCACUUAUCUGUAUACAUUUUUUCCCACUGAAGGGGAAAAAGGAUCCUUCUAAUCGCUCAAAUUAACACUCAAUAAUAUCAAUACUUGCAAUUAAUAACACUUGCCUUUCAAUGAAUGUGGAAAUACAAUGUUAAGUGACUAACUGAAAAUUUUACAUUUAAAAUAACAUUAAAUUUCCGAUUUGGGACGGAUUCUUAUUUAGUAUGAAUUUAGUGCUGACACUUACGGUGCU
Lontra canadensis (Northern American river otter) is the source of this 525-nucleotide long non-coding RNA. RefSeq lists it as uncharacterized. The transcript is spliced from 4 exons. Lineage: Eukaryota; Metazoa; Chordata; Mammalia; Carnivora; Mustelidae. The record is from RefSeq and is a predicted model, not a curated record.